CUUUAAGGAGUUGGUGAGUUUUCUAUUCUCUUUAAGCAAUUAAGCCUAUAUUCAGAAUGGAUUGGUACUGACAACUUCACCUUAUAGCAAAUAAUUUAAAAGUAAUGAAAGAAUGUGACAAAGCCGGGUGAAAGGCUGGAAAGCUAGGGUGUAUUCUGCAGGCAUUUCAUCCUGCUUCGUCACAUUAUAACAAAGGAAUAGUCACAGGAGAGUCUUUAGAGAUGACUUAUUACAUGAAAUGUAAGUUUUGGACAAACGCAGAUGCAUCCUUGCCUGGAAUCAAUCCUGUGCUUUAUAGAGUUAAUAUUAAAUGGGCCUAGAAACUUUAUUUUGCCAACAAGUAAUAUGAAGAUACUUUGUAUCUUCUGCAAUGGAUGUAUUUAGAAAUAUGAUUUUAUACUGUUUACGCCUGAAUUGGAGUAUGUACUAAAAAGAGUUGAAGUGAUCACAAUUGUUCUCUUUUAGGUUCGAUCAAUCAGCAUCAAUGUUCGGAAAAAUCUUGCUUUUAACACACUGAGCCAGGAAAUUCUUCUGAAGGAAUUUUCAACCAUUUCAUGAAAAUGAACUCCUAAUGUGAUCAGAUGGCCACCAGAAGAGCUGGGACACAUUUCUACUAGCACUGUGGGUGGACUGUUGCGUCAUUGUUUCUAUUUCCUUUACACAUAACCUGCCUUUUUAGAGUACAAACAUAGGUCUUUGAUGAAUUCAGUUUCCCAUUGUUCCAAAUAUAUUGUCUAACUAAAAGAAUGGAAAUGACGCCCCAUCUCCCUGCUUAACGCGGACACAAAGCUCUUUGCUAAAAUUCUUGCCAACAGAAUACGCCCCAUCCUGGGUACACUCGUUUCUCCGGAGCAAUCGGGUUUUGUCCCGGAACGUCAGGUAGAGGACAACACAAGGCGUGCACUAGACAUAAUGGAACUCCUGACAGUACAUAGAACACAG
This is a non-coding RNA of Pelobates cultripes (western spadefoot toad), 942 nucleotides long. The record is from the annotation of a GenBank genome assembly. NCBI's taxonomy places the organism in Eukaryota, Metazoa, Chordata, Amphibia, Anura, Pelobatidae.